UUGGAGGGCAAGUCUGGUGCCAGCAGCCGCGGUAAUUCCAGCUCCAAUAGCGUAUAUUAAAGUUGUUGCAGUUAAAAAGCUCGUAGUUGAACCUUUGGCCUGGCUGGCGGGUCUGCCUCACCGCAUGCACUCGUCCGGCCGGGCCUUCUCUUCUGGAGAAUCGCAUGCCCUUCACUGGGUGUGUCGAGGACCAGGACUUUUACUUUGAAAAAAUUAGAGUGUUCAAAGCAGGCCUUUGCUCGAAUACGUUAGCAUGGAAUAAUGGAAUAGGACGUGCGGUCCUAUUUUGUUGGUUUCUAGGACCGCCGUAAUGAUUAAUAGGGACAGUCGGGGGCAUCAGUAUUCAAUUGUCAGAGGUGAAAUUCUUGGAUUUAUUGAAGACUAACUACUGCGAAAGCAUUUGCCAAGGAUGUUUUCAUUAAUCAGUGAACGAAAGUUAGGGGAUCGAAGACGAUCAGAUACCGUCGUAGUCUUAACCAUAAACUAUGCCGACUAGGGAUCGGGCGGUGUUUCUAUUAUGACCCGUUCGGCGCCUUACGGGAAAC
This 545-nucleotide ribosomal RNA is filed under the name uncultured Ascomycota. RNAcentral describes it as "SSU rRNA". It matches the Rfam family "Eukaryotic small subunit ribosomal RNA", at positions 548 to 1098 of the family's 1831-position model. The record is from RNAcentral. Lineage: Eukaryota; Fungi; Ascomycota.